GUAGUUUGAUCCGUGGCUCGAGGACGAACGCUGGCGGCGUGCUUAACACAUGCAAGUCGAACGGGGGAUUAGAGUGGAAGUCCUUCGGGGUGGAAAUUCUGAUUCUAGUGGCGGACGGGUGAGUAACGCGUGAACAAUCUGUCCCAGACAGGGGAAUAACACUUGGAAACAGGUGCUAAUACCGCAUAAGACCACGGUGCCGCAUGGCAGAGGGGUAAAAGGAGAAAUCCGGUUUGGGGUGAGUUCGCGUCCGAUUAGAUAGUUGGUGAGGUAACGGCCCACCAAGUCGACGAUCGGUAGCCGACCUGAGAGGGUGAUCGGCCACAUUGGAACUGAGAGACGGUCCAAACUCCUACGGGAGGCAGCAGUGGGGAAUAUUGGGCAAUGGGCGAAAGCCUGACCCAGCAACGCCGCGUGAGCGAAGAAGGCUUUCGGGUUAGUAAAGCUCUGUUAUAGGGGACGAAGGAAGUGACGGUACCCUAUAAGGAAGCCCCGGCUAACUACGUGCC
This 509-nucleotide ribosomal RNA is filed under the name uncultured organism. RNAcentral describes it as "SSU rRNA". It matches the Rfam family "Bacterial small subunit ribosomal RNA", at positions 9 to 509 of the family's 1533-position model. The record is from RNAcentral.